GGUCUAAAGGAUUGUCUCUAGA
Molecule: microRNA, 22 nt
Filed under: Lingula anatina
Lineage: Eukaryota; Metazoa; Brachiopoda; Lingulata; Lingulida; Lingulidae
Description: Lan-Mir-5045_5p (mature (co-guide))
Source: RNAcentral